CAGCCGCCACGGUAAAACGGAGGGUGCAAGCGUUAUCCGGAUUUAUUGGGUUUAAAGGGUCCGUAGGCGGAUCUGUAAGUCAGUGGUGAAAUCUCACAGCUUAACUGUGAAACUGCCAUUGAUACUGCAGGUCUUGAGUAAAUUUGAAGUGGCUGGAAUAAGUAGUGUAGCGGUGAAAUGCAUAGAUAUUACUUAGAACACCAAUUGCGAAGGCAGGUCACUAAGAUUUAACUGACGCUGAUGGACGAAAGCGUGGGGAGCGAACAGGAUUAGAUACCCGCGUAGUCCCUGUCUCUUAUAC
This 301-nucleotide ribosomal RNA is filed under the name uncultured bacterium. RNAcentral's name for it is "partial 16S ribosomal RNA". It matches the Rfam family "Bacterial small subunit ribosomal RNA", at positions 509 to 807 of the family's 1533-position model. The record is from RNAcentral.